RNAcentral lists this unclassified non-coding RNA (267 nucleotides) under air metagenome. RNAcentral describes it as "partial contains small subunit ribosomal RNA, internal transcribed spacer 1, and 5.8S ribosomal RNA". The stretch from base 1 to 46 matches the Rfam family "Eukaryotic small subunit ribosomal RNA", at positions 1786 to 1831 of the family's 1831-position model. The record is from RNAcentral.
AAGUCGUAACAAGGUUUCCGUAGGUGAACCUGCGGAAGGAUCAUUAAUACAUGUUGAGCGCACUUUAAUGUGACUCUUUGUAUAAACCAUUACCCCCCAAACCCAGAGGUGCAUUGUGGCCCGUCAAAAGGUUAGCAGUGUAUCAGUACGUAUCUCAAAGGCAACUUUGAUUUACAUUACCCAUCAUUUACCCCCAUUUACACUUAAGAAGUUUUAAGAAUGAUAACCAUAACUAUAUAACUUUCAGCAAUGGAUCUCUAGGCUCUC